GAUGAACGCUGGCGGCGUGCCUAAUACAUGCAAGUCGAGCGGACAGACGAGGAGCUUGCUCCUCUGACGUUAGCGGCGGACGGGUGAGUAACACGUGGAUAACCUACCUAUAAGACUGGGAUAACUUCGGGAAACCGGAGCUAAUACCGGAUAAUAUAUUGAACCGCAUGGUUCAAUAGUGAAAGACGGUUUUGCUGUCACUUAUAGAUGGAUCCGCGGCGCAUUAGCUAGUUGGUAAGGUAACGGCUUACCAAGGCAACGAUGCGUAGCCGACCUGAGAGGGUGAUCGGCCACACUGGAACUGAGACACGGUCCAGACUCCUACGGGAGGCAGCAGUAGGGAAUCUUCCGCAAUGGGCGAAAGCCUGACGGAGCAACGCCGCGUGAGUGAUGAAGGUCUUCGGAUCGUAAAACUCUGUUAUUAGGGAAGAACAAAUGUGUAAGUAACUAUGCACGUCUUGACGGUACCUAAUCAGAAAGCCACGGCUAACUACGUG
Molecule: ribosomal RNA, 497 nt
Filed under: uncultured bacterium
Lineage: Bacteria
Description: partial 16S ribosomal RNA
Rfam family: Bacterial small subunit ribosomal RNA
Source: RNAcentral